CAUCUUCGGCAUCGUCGUCUCUCUCACAGAACUUAGUAUAGUUCUGUGUCGUCUGCCGUCUCCUCCUCUUCUUCCUCCUUGUUGGUCACCAUACUCUUGGGUACUCUUGUUGGUUAUUGAUUUUUCGAUUAAGUCACACCAUAUGCAUAGCUUUUGUUUCUGUAUCGGAAUGGAACGAUCAACGAUGUCUCUGCCGACUAUUAGGAAUAUUCAAAGAUAUGUUGAGUUGUUUUCAUCAUUAUGGCGUGAGUGAAAACACCUUCCAAGAAUGUGUACCAGAUGAUGACACUAAGGGAAUGGACUUUUUUUCUUUGAAGAAUUCAAGCAGAACCAACUUAUUUUACUUGGACACUAUAUAUAUUUUGUAUCUUUCGUUUUAAAUUUUUAUGGAAAGAACAUUGGUUGUCGUUGUUAUGUUAUAAGAACUUGAUGAUGAAUUAUGAUAUUACAAAUUUUAUGUAAUGUCCAUUUGGUAGUUCAAUGGUUAUUAUUGGU
Molecule: long non-coding RNA, 495 nt
Organism: Andrographis paniculata
Lineage: Eukaryota; Viridiplantae; Streptophyta; Magnoliopsida; Lamiales; Acanthaceae
Exons: 3
Source: RefSeq, a predicted model, not a curated record